CGCAGACGACGCUGGCGGCAUGCCUAAUACAUGCAAGUCGAGCGGAGUUAUUUUGAAAGCUUGCUUUCAAAAUAACUUAGCGGCGGACGGGUGAGUAACACGUAGGCAACCUGCCCUCAAGACUGGGAUAACUACCGGAAACGGUAGCUAAUACCGGAUAAUUUCUUUUUUCUCCUGAAGAGAGAAUGAAAGGCGGAGCAAUCUGCUACUUGGGGAUGGGCCUGCGGCGCAUUAGCUAGUUGGUGAGGUAACGGCUCACCAAGGCGACGAUGCGUAGCCGACCUGAGAGGGUGAACGGCCACACUGGGACUGAGACACGGCCCAGACUCCUACGGGAGGCAGCAGUAGGGAAUCUUCCGCAAUGGGCGAAAGCCUGACGGAGCAAUGCCGCGUGAGUGAUGAAGGUUUUCGGAUCGUAAAGCUCUGUUGCCAGGGAAGAACGUCCGGUAGAGUAACUGCUACCGGAGUGACGGUACCUGAGAAGAAAGCCCCGGCUAACUACGUGCCAGCAGCCGCGGUAAUACGUAGGGGGCAAGCGUUGUCCGGAAUUAUUGGGCGUAAAGCGCGCGCAGGCGGUCAUUUAAGUCUGGUGUUUAAACCUUGGGCUCAACCUGAGGUCGCACUGGAAACUGGGUGACUUGAGUACAGAAGAGGAAAGUGGAAUUCCACGUGUAGCGGUGAAAUGCGUAGAUAUGUGGAGGAACACCAGUGGCGAAGGCGACUUUCUGGGCUGUAACUGACGCUGAGGCGCGAAAGCGUGGGGAGCAAACAGGAUUAGAUACCCUGGUAGUCCACGCCGUAAACGAUGAGUGCUAGGUGUUAGGGGUUUCGAUACCCUUGGUGCCGAAGUUAACACAGUAAGCACUCCGCCUG
RNAcentral lists this ribosomal RNA (873 nucleotides) under Paenibacillus sp. Its description in RNAcentral is "bacterial SSU rRNA". It matches the Rfam family "Bacterial small subunit ribosomal RNA", at positions 23 to 875 of the family's 1533-position model. Lineage: Bacteria; Bacillati; Bacillota; Bacilli; Caryophanales; Paenibacillaceae. The record is from RNAcentral.